AGCUCCAAUAGCGUAUAUUAAAGUUGUUGCAGUUAAAAAGCUCGUAGUUGAACCUUGGGCCUGGCUGGCCGGUCCGCCUCACGGCGAGCACUGGUUAUUCGGCUGGGCCUUUCCUUCUGGCUAGCCGGCAUGCCGUUUAUUCGGUGUGUCGGGGAACCAGGACAUUUACUUUGAAAAAAUUAGAGUGUUCAAAGCAGGCAUUUGCUCGAAUACAUUAGCAUGGAAUAAUAGAAUAGGACGCGUGGUUCUAUUUUGUUGGUUUCUAGGACCACCGUAAUGAUUAAUAGGGAUAGUCGGGGGCAUCAGUAUUCAAUUGUCAGAGGUGAAAUUCUUGGAUUUAUUGAAGACUAACUACUGCGAAAGCAUUUGCCAAGGAUGUUUUCA
RNAcentral lists this ribosomal RNA (384 nucleotides) under uncultured eukaryote. RNAcentral describes it as "SSU rRNA". It matches the Rfam family "Eukaryotic small subunit ribosomal RNA", at positions 587 to 972 of the family's 1831-position model. The record is from RNAcentral.